Molecule: microRNA precursor, 78 nt
Filed under: Pinus taeda (loblolly pine)
Lineage: Eukaryota; Viridiplantae; Streptophyta; Pinopsida; Pinales; Pinaceae
Description: miR390 stem-loop (pta-MIR390)
Gene: pta-MIR390
Source: miRBase by way of RNAcentral
AAUUAUGAAGCCCAGGAUGGAUAGCGCCAGCCCCACUUGAAAUUUGCAGUGGGCGCUAUCCCUCUGAGCUUUGUAAUU